GGAAUUCUAAACAUUCUGAAUUCCAUCAAUGCAAGCCAAUGCAGUCUUAAACCCCAUACUUUGCUUGGAAAGGAAGUUUUUAAAACCAUGUGACCGGAUUAGAAAAACUGGUCCCAUCAUAGCCCAUAGAAAAUGUCCCCACCACUCUGGGACCUAUGGUGCUACCAGUCUGCUCACAGUUGUCAUCAGCUAAGUGAGUGCCCCUCCUGUUCCCUGAUUUAAGAGGUGAUGACCACUCCACUACCACUGAACUGAAGCCACGUCUCAUGUGCCCUCUCAUCCACUGCCACAUUGAAUGUUUCCUCUCCAAGCACUUAAAAUCCUGUCCUGCCCCCAGUAGAAGAGUUGAGCUCUUCUCCAACACCAUCCGUUCAUGAUGAGCCUGUCCUGCACUGAAGCCUCUGAACACCUCAACUCAUGCCUCAUACACUCAUUCAAUCACUGCUGUGAUCCCUUCCCAACGCUGUCUUCUGGGUGUCAGGAGUUGUCUGCCCAGAGCAUCACCGGGGGCCCUCCAGGACAUCUAUAGCACCCGGUAUCAUAGGAAGGCCAAAAAGUUCAUCAAGGACCUCAGCCACCCAAGCCACAUCCUGUUCACCCUGCUACCAUACAGAAUGUGAUGUCCGUACAGGUGCAUCAAAGCUGGGACAGAGAGACUGAAAGCUUAUAUCUUCUUUUGAAAAUCUUGGCCGUGUACUGUUAUAAUCUCAACCCGGCACAGCCAGAAGAGGACUGACUACCCCUCAGAGCCUGGUUCCUCUCUAGGUUUCUUCCUAGGUUCCUGCCUUUCUAGGGAGUUUUUCCUAGCCACUGUGCUUCUACAUCUGCAUUGCUUGCUGUUUGGGGUUUUAGACUGGGUUUCUGUAUAGCACUUUGUGACAUCGGCUGAUGUAAAAAGGGCUUGAUUGUCACGCCCUGGCCAUAGAG
RNAcentral lists this long non-coding RNA (927 nucleotides) under Salmo salar (Atlantic salmon). RNAcentral describes it as "lncRNA (ENSSSAG00000090392.1)". Lineage: Eukaryota; Metazoa; Chordata; Actinopteri; Salmoniformes; Salmonidae. The record is from RNAcentral.